GUACGGAGGACGGAGGACGCACGACGUGGCCCGCGGAGGGGCGCAGAGUCGUCCCACGGCAGCGGGAACGUGGGCGCUGCUCCAACGGCUCACUCCUCCUCUCAAGAACAAGAGGCACAGGCGCCGAACCUGAGGGGACUUAGACACGACAUUACAAAUGGCCGCCAGGGAACGAACAAGGUCUUGAGCCAGCUCUGCUGCCUCUGAGGCAGCACCCAGACCAGAGGGCGCCUUGAAGAAGCCCGUGCGAUCAUAAGGCUUCAGCGCCAAUCCUGUCGGCACCAGCGCUAGCCCACCAGACUCGAUACCACCUGCCCCACACGCGUCACUGACCUGUGCCGGCCAUUCAUCUCCAAGCCCACGACGGGGCAGAUGAACCGCGCCCGCUGCAGGUCGUCAUGUUUGUCACCUUUUGUGCUUCCUCUAUCCCCUUCCCAGGCGGGAUUAUCAGAAAGCCUUAGUUCUGUCACAUUCUGUGAAAAAACAUCAGUAUUUUAAGACUUCAUCCGAUAUGUGGAUCAUCCUUAGCCUCAAUAACCACCUAAAUCGACAGAGAAAUUGUUAUUGCGGUCCUUUUCCAUCCAAGUCUCUUCUUCCUACUUUCCUUUGGCCAAUGCUUAUCAUAUGAAUAAAAAGAUGAAACCAUAAAUUGUGGGAGGAAACAAGAGAUCUUAAACUCACUGGCAAGUCAAUUAGUUAAUUUCUACUUUACAAAUAUUUUGCUAUUUAGGGAAAAGUAACUUUGAACAUGAAAAACUAUGCUGCUAAGAGAGAGUUCUGUGUUAGUUUCAUCCAGAAUGGAACAUUUUCUUUCUCUGCAGAUGAAUCCUCACUGAGGUGUUCUGUAUACUGGUCGCCCAUGUUUAUUUAAUACCUGAACAGACAGUAGAAGCUAUGAAGCCACGGUCUAAUAAGUCCAAGGCAGACUAUUAGCCAGGGAAUACUAUUAUAGUCCACAAGCUGGCCAUUCAGGUUUUCAAAAACACGCCUUCACAAGGAGGGAUCUAAUGGCUCCACUUGGGCAUCUGACAUUUAACCCGCCAUUUUGAUUUCAGCACUGCGGACAGCAGCCGGGUGCCUCGGAAGGAAAGCCGCUGGGCACGGGCAGGCUUCCUGGUUAAUGCUGCCAGGGUCUCCUCAAGGGCCCGCCUAAGUGUGUGUGGACUAGUAAAUGACGGUAACAAUAAUCUUGCAUACUUGGGUCAUUUAACCUGAGACCUUCCAGUUUUACAGCUCUGAUUUCUUGGAAUUUUUUCUUUUUUGCAUUAAAAGUUCAACCAUG
Suricata suricatta (meerkat) is the source of this 1282-nucleotide long non-coding RNA. RefSeq lists it as uncharacterized. NCBI's taxonomy places the organism in Eukaryota, Metazoa, Chordata, Mammalia, Carnivora, Herpestidae. The transcript has 2 exons. The record is from RefSeq and is a predicted model, not a curated record.